CGAACGCUGGCGGCGCGUUUAAGCAUGCAAGUCGAGCGGCAAGGGCCUUCGGGCCCCUAGAGCGGCGGACGGGUGAGUAACACGUGGACAAUCUGCCCCCCGGCCCGGGAUAGCCCGGGGGAAACCUGGAUUAAUGCCGGAUGAGACGGGACCCGCGAAGGCGGGACCCGGGAAAGGCGCUGCGGCGCCGCCGGGGGAUGAGUCUGCGUCCCAUUAGCUAGACGGCGGGGUAACGGCCCACCGUGGCGACGAUGGGUAGCCGGCCUGAGAGGGUGGACGGCCACAUUGGAACUGAGACACGGUCCAGACUCCUACGGGAGGCAGCAGCUAAGAAUCUUCCGCAAUGGGCGAAAGCCUGACGGAGCGACGCCCGCGUGAACGAAGAAGGCCGUGAGGUUGUAAAGUUCUUUUCGGGAGGGGGAACAACCGUGGCAGGGAAUGGCCGCGGGAUGACGUGAAUCCCGGAAUAAGCCCCGGCUAACUACGUGCCAGCCGCUGC
This 499-nucleotide ribosomal RNA is filed under the name uncultured bacterium. Its description in RNAcentral is "bacterial SSU rRNA". It matches the Rfam family "Bacterial small subunit ribosomal RNA", at positions 30 to 518 of the family's 1533-position model. The record is from RNAcentral.